AGAUGGGCUCUGAAUAGAGGAAGGCAGGACACUCUUGAGAUGGGAUGGGGUUUCUCACAGCACCGUACAGGGACCACCUGCAAGAUCUCUUGAGGGGCUUGUGAAAAACACAUCCCUGAGGUCACCAUUCUUGACCUGCUGCUUAUUGAGUUUCUGAUGCCUGGGAUGUGCAGGUUUAACAAGCCCCCAGAUGAUCCUAAUAGGAUUCCUGCCUGAAAAUUGCUGGGUGAAGGCUCUUCCCCCUCCAAGUGAUAAAGAAGGAAAAGAUUGAUCCUGGAAGAACAUCCGUUAGAUGAGCAAAAUUUUGUGGAGCACUUCAUGAAGAGGAAUUACUAGGUCAUUUAGAAAUAUGUUUGAAUUGUGGAUCAUCUUGUAGGCCUUUCUGGCAUAUUUCUCCACUUAGAUCCACAAGACACAUCGAAUGUCUUUUUAUAAAGGGGUUUUUUAAUGCCCAUGUUUGACCCUCUCCACUUAACAGUCCCAUUCUCAUUUUAUAUAUGAAGGUAAUCUGCUUUACAGAAAAAUGUAAAGGACCUGCACUUCUCUGCUUUGUGGGCGAACCUUUCCUACACACCCAUACUUCUCUGCCCAGCUUGGAGCAGGACAGCUAUCGCUUUACAACAUUUUGAAGGCCUACUCACUUCUAGACCAGGAAGUGGGAUAUUGCCAAGGUCUCAGCUUUGUAGCAGGCAUUUUGCUUCUUCAUAUGAGUGAGGAAGAGGCGUUUAAAAUGCUCAAGUUUCUGAUGUUUGACAUGGGGCUGCGGAAACAGUAUCGGCCAGACAUGAUUAUUUUACAGAUCCAGAUGUACCAGCUCUCGAGGUUGCUUCAUGAUUACCACAGAGACCUCUACAAUCACCUGGAGGAGCACGAGAUCGGCCCCAGCCUCUACGCUGCCCCCUGGUUCCUCACCAUGUUUGCCUCACAGUUCCCGCUGGGAUUCGUAGCCAGAGUCUUUGAUAUGAUUUUUCUUCAGGGAACAGAGGUCAUAUUUAAAGUGGCUUUAAGUCUGUUGGGAAGCCAUAAGCCCUUGAUUCUGCAGCAUGAAAACCUAGAAACCAUAGUUGACUUUAUAAAAAGCACGCUACCCAACCUUGGCUUGGUACAGAUGGAAAAGACCAUCAAUCAGGUAUUUGAAAUGGACAUCGCUAAACAGUUACAAGCUUAUGAAGUUGAGUACCACGUCCUUCAAGAAGAACUUAUCGAUUCCUCUCCUCUCAGUGACAACCAAAGAAUGGAUAAAUUAGAGAAAACCAACAGCAGCUUACGCAAACAGAACCUUGACCUCCUUGAACAGUUGCAGGUGGCAAAUGGUAGGAUCCAAAGCCUUGAGGCCACCAUUGAGAAGCUCCUGAGCAGUGAGAGCAAGCUGAAGCAGGCCAUGCUUACCUUAGAACUGGAGCGGUCGGCCCUGCUGCAGACGGUGGAGGAGCUGCAGCGGCGGAGCGCAGAGCCCAGCGACCGGGAGCCUGAGUGCACGCAGCCCGAGCCCACGGUCGACUGACAGCUCUGCAGGAGAGAUUGCAACACCAUCCCACACUGUCCAGGCCUUAACUGAGAGGGACAGAAGACGCUGGAAGGAGAGAAGGAAGCGGGAAGUGUGCUUCUCAGGGAGGAAACCGGCUUGCCAGCAAGUAGAUUCUUACGAACUCCAACUUGCCAUUCAGGGGCCAUGUCCCAGUGUUUUUUUUUGUUGUUUUUAGAUACUAAAUCG
Molecule: small RNA, 1714 nt
Filed under: Pan troglodytes (chimpanzee)
Lineage: Eukaryota; Metazoa; Chordata; Mammalia; Primates; Hominidae
Description: processed transcript
Source: RNAcentral